Molecule: ribosomal RNA, 253 nt
Filed under: uncultured bacterium
Lineage: Bacteria
Description: partial 16S ribosomal RNA
Rfam family: Bacterial small subunit ribosomal RNA
Source: RNAcentral
UACGGAGGGGGCUAGCGUUGUUCGGAAUUACUGGGCGUAAAGCGCACGUAGGCGGCUUUGUAAGUUAGAGGUGAAAGCCCGGGGCUCAACCCCGGAACUGCCUUUAAGACUGCAUCGCUUGAAUCCGGGAGAGGUGAGUGGAAUUCCGAGUGUAGAGGUGAAAUUCGUAGAUAUUCGGAAGAACACCAGUGGCGAAGGCGGCUCACUGGACCGGUAUUGACGCUGAGGUGCGAAAGCGUGGGGAGCAAACAGG